GUGUGUUACAAAACUGGACCUUAUUCUCUACAACGCUCAGUUGAAAUGGUAGAGCGGCAGCUCGGCGUUGAGCGGGUGCGACAUCACCGUCAGCACGUCGGUCACCGACAGCAUCGAGCUUAUCGCCGCCUUCAGAACCUCCCGCGAGCAUCCAGGCUUCACCAUCGUCCUCACCUUGCUGAGACAGUCUUUCAGUAUCUCAAUGUCGC
Molecule: unclassified non-coding RNA, 209 nt
Filed under: Hevea brasiliensis (rubber tree)
Lineage: Eukaryota; Viridiplantae; Streptophyta; Magnoliopsida; Malpighiales; Euphorbiaceae
Source: RNAcentral